Mycena rebaudengoi is the source of this 87-nucleotide non-coding RNA. The record is from the annotation of a GenBank genome assembly. NCBI's taxonomy places the organism in Eukaryota, Fungi, Basidiomycota, Agaricomycetes, Agaricales, Mycenaceae.
GCAUCGGUGGUGUAUGGUGCACACCUCCUUCCAUUGGCCCGACGAGUCAGUUGAAAGGAGGACGGGGUUCGACUCCCCGCCGAUGCA